GAAAGGAGACAAGGGCACAUGAAGGAUGCCUUGGCUCUCGGAGGCGACGAAGGACGUGACAAGCUGCGAUAAGCCGCGCCAAGGGGCAAAUACCCGAAAUAAGCGCGGAUUUCCGAAUGGGGCAACCCGCCGGCAUCAGCCGGCAUCCUGCCAAGCAGGAGGCGAACCCGGGGAACUGAAACAUCUCAGUACCCGGAGGAAAAGAAAGUAACAACGAUUGCGCAAGUAGUGGCGAGCGAACGCGCAAGAGCCCAAACCGGGGAUGUGGCAACGCAUCCGCCGGGGUUGUAGGACCGUCGACAGUGCCUGUGUGAAGCGAUAGCCGAAGCGUUUUGGAAAAGCGCGCCAUAGCGGGUGAAAGCCCCGUAGGCGAAAUCGGAUCACACAGACCAGGCGGCACCUGAGUAGGGCGGGACACGAGAAAUCCUGUCUGAAUCCGCGGGGACCAUCCCGUAAGGCUAAAUACUACCGAGAGACCGAUAGCGGACCAGUACCGUGAGGGAAAGGUGAAAAGAACCCCGAACAGGGGAGUGCAACAGACCCUGAAAUCAUGUGCCUACAAGCGGUCGGAGCCACUUAGUGUGGUGACGGCGUGCCUUUUGCAUAAUGAACCUACGAGUUGCCUGUGUUGGCGAGGCUAAGGGCUUCAGGCCCGGAGCCGAAGCGAAAGCGAGUCGGAAAACGGCGUCGAGUCAGCACGGGCAGACGCGAAACCAAGUGAUCUACCCUUGGGCAGGUUGAAGGACAGGUAACACUGUCUGGAGGACCGAACCGGUAAGCGUUGAAAAGCUUUCGGAUGACCUGAGGGUAGGAGUGAAAGGCCAAUCAAACUUGGAGAUAGCUCGUACUCCCCGAAAUGCAUUUAGGUGCAGCCUCGGGCGAUAUACCGCGGAGGUAGAGCGACCGAUAGGAUGCGAGGGCUUCACCGCCUAUCAAGUCCUGACGAACUCCGAAUGCCGCGGCAUUAACCCCGGGAGUGAGGGCGCGGGUGCUAAGGUCCGCGUCCGAGAGAGGAACAACUCAGACCACCGUCUAAGGCCCCGAAAUCCGGGCUAAGUUGAAGACAAUAACGAGGUGGGGCCGCAGUGACAGCUAGGAUGUUGGCUUGGAAGCAGCCAUUCAUUCAAAGAGUGCGUAACAGCUCACUAGUCGAGCGGCCCUGCAUGGAUAAUAAUCGGGCAUAAGUCCGGUGCCGAAGACGUGGAAUUGUCCUUAGAGGACGAUUGGUAGGGGAGCAUUCCGGCAGUCGCCGAAGGCGGACCGCGAGAUCCGCUGGAGACCCCGGAAAAGCAAAUGUAGGUAUAAGUAACGACAAGGAGGGCGAGAAACCCUCCCGCCGCAAGACCAAGGGUUCCUGAUCAACGCUAAUCGGAUCAGGGUCAGUCGGGACCUAAGGAAAAGCCGCAAGGCGUAUUCGAUGGACAAACGGUAAACAUUCCGUUACCUCAUGUAACAGUGACGUGGCGACGGAGGCGUGACACACCUGCGCACUGACGGAAUAGUGCGUUGAAGCGUAAAGGUAAUCGCGGGGCAGGCAAAUCCACCCUGCGAGCUGAAGCGCGACAGUACGGCGAGCCCCCGGGCAAGCCGAUAACGGUGGUAAUCAGACUCCCAAGAAAAACCGCUAAACAUAUGUUGCAUGAGCCCGUACCGCAAACCGACACAGGUGGUCGGGUAGAACAUACCAAGGCGCUCGAGAGAUUCACGGUUAAGGAACUAGGCAAAUUGACCCCGUAACUUCGGAAAAAGGGGUCCCUCCCUCCGGGGAGGGCGCAGAGAAUAGGUCCAGGCAACUGUUUAACAAAAACACAGGGCUGUGCGAAGUUUAAAGACGAAGUAUACAGCCUGACACCUGCCCGGUGCCGGAAGGUUAAGAGGAGGCGUCAUCGCAAGAGAAGCGCUGAAUUGAAGCCCCGGUAAACGGCGGCCGUAACUAUAACGGUCCUAAGGUAGCGAAAUUCCUUGUCGGGUAAGUUCCGACCUG
Molecule: ribosomal RNA, 1984 nt
Filed under: human gut metagenome
Description: bacterial LSU rRNA
Rfam family: Bacterial large subunit ribosomal RNA
Source: RNAcentral